Molecule: transfer RNA, 42 nt
Filed under: Nicrophorus investigator
Lineage: Eukaryota; Metazoa; Arthropoda; Insecta; Coleoptera; Silphidae
Description: partial tRNA-Asn
Source: RNAcentral
AAAAAUUUAGUUAAGUUAUAACAUUAGUUNGUCNUACUAAAA